Molecule: ribosomal RNA, 291 nt
Filed under: uncultured Bacteroides sp.
Lineage: Bacteria; Pseudomonadati; Bacteroidota; Bacteroidia; Bacteroidales; Bacteroidaceae
Description: partial 16S ribosomal RNA
Rfam family: Bacterial small subunit ribosomal RNA
Source: RNAcentral
AUGCAAGUCGAGGGGCAGCAUGGUCUUAGCUUGCUAAGGCCGAUGGCGACCGGCGCACGGGUGAGUAACACGUAUCCAACCUGCCGAUAACUCCGGAAUAGCCUUUCGAAAGAAAGAUUAAUACCGGAUGGCAUAGUUUUUCCGCAUGGGAUAAUUAUUAAAGAAUUUCGGUUGUCGAUGGGGAUGCGUUCCAUUAGUUUGUUGGCGGGGUAACGGCCCACCUAGUCUUCGAUGGAUAGGGGUUCUGAGAGGAAGGUCCCCACAUUGGAACUGAGACACGGUCCAAACUCC